Long non-coding RNA from Xiphophorus couchianus (Monterrey platyfish), 150 nucleotides. RefSeq lists it as uncharacterized. The transcript has 3 exons. The record is from RefSeq and is a predicted model, not a curated record. NCBI's taxonomy places the organism in Eukaryota, Metazoa, Chordata, Actinopteri, Cyprinodontiformes, Poeciliidae.
UCUUUUUAUGUCUUUUCUCGCUUAAAAUAAGUUCACAAACUGUCACUAUUGCUUCUACAUCAUCAUCCGUGUUUGUUAUUCUAAAUUCAUGUAUGGUAUGUUGGGGGUUUUACGGGAUUUUCUUCUGGAAUCAGAAUGUUUGUGAGUGAA